Molecule: long non-coding RNA, 1589 nt
Organism: Triticum aestivum (bread wheat)
Lineage: Eukaryota; Viridiplantae; Streptophyta; Magnoliopsida; Poales; Poaceae
Exons: 2
Source: RefSeq, a predicted model, not a curated record
UACCUCCGCCGCCGCCCCCAGAAUCUUAUCCCUCUUCCUCAAUCCCCUCCACUACCCCUCCUCUGCAGCCCCACCGUUCCGGCGGUCUCUCCUUCCUCCAUCUCCCCACCUGCGCCCUCCCUCUUACCGAGACUCUCCCGUAGAUCCUCCAGUACCACUCCCAUUGGUAACCCGUCCCUCCCUCCCCCAUCCCACUUGUGGUUCUGAUCUAGGGAGUUCGACGGCGACGGCGACCAUAGGAGCAAUGGCAGCUGCAACUUGGGCACGCGCAGAUCCGGCACAGAGCUCAAGCCCAACGUCGGCCUUGUCGGAGCUGAGCGGCCGUGCGGUGGCCGGUGUACUGCGACGGCUCGCUGGAGGCAGCAGCGAACCCUAGUCGCCAUUGGUCACCAGCGCCUGGCCUACCUCUCCUGUUGGCUUCCUCGACGUCGUGGCCUAGUGCUACUGCGUGACUGCAGUGGCGGCCUUCACCAUUGUCAAGCCCUGAGGUGCACGCUCGUCUCUUUGUCCGGUAUUAAAUAAUACAGUAAGACACACAGGGCAGCUCUAUUAUAUAUGUAGUACUAUUUAUAGGUACAUGCUUUUGAUGGUAUACAUUGUUAAUUGGUGCAUCUAGCACAACUGUCAGGCUCUGUCGUACAUGUAGUUUCUUAGCAAAUUGUGGUGGCAGGCUUGAUAUGGGCUGGAAUUAGGCAACGUAUACCACCCAGUAUGCAGUCUUCAAGUAAUAAUUGUUAUUGUGUGAAAGAAUUCAGUCACUUGGAUCUAUGUAGUUUCUGUCAUCUAUGUAUAGGUUCUCACAGAACAGGAGAUAAGAAUGUCUAAAUACAACAUUUGCCUGAUUAAAGGCAUCCUCUCUUCUGCUGUUAACCGAAAUGCAUGAAUCUCCGCACUUAGCUAUGGUGGUCUUGCAUGGGUAGUUGUAGCUAGAGCAGCGGAGAGUCCCAAAGACGUCUGUAUGCCUCUGUUUUUCUUGUGUUUUUCUACAUAUAUGUGCUUCUUCAAACAUUCUCUGCUUGCUUGCUGAAAUAGUACAACUUCAGUAGUGGAUAACAUAGUGUGUUGACUCUAGAGAGAAGUCAAGGAAUUCUUGUGUGAUGAAGCUGUGGUAUAAAAUACUUCAAAAGACAAUGUAUACAGUGAAGUCUGUACCCUUAUUGAUUCAUUCCGGUGCCAAUCUUACUUACAUGAAUAAACAGUACUGUUGCUUUAUUUUGAAGAGUUGUUUACAUAGUUGAAGUUCUGCAAACUAGUGAGUAUAUUUGUUUCGCCUCUGCACGUGGUUGUUGGCGGUGGGCAUGGCUCCUUUCGGCAACUCUCAAGUGCAGGUCACCGGUAUAUAAGGUUUUUGCAAGUGAAUAAAGUACACAUAAAUCCAAGGCUCCUGUUUCAGAACAGUUACAAGAAAACGCAAAGUGUUGUACUAAUGAUGUUUGUAAAUCCUCCGUGAGCCAUCUAUGUAAAUAUGUAAUUGUUGGGUAAUCUAAACAGUAGUGUGAUGCUAAUAAGCUUCAGCUGCUAUGUGAAAAUUAUAAAACUAUGUAAAUAUCUUUUGUUGGGUCAUCUAAGGAGUAAUGUGAUUGUAAUAA